UGCGUAGGCGGCUCUGUAAGUAUGGUGUGAAAUCUCCCGGCUUAACUGGGAGGGUGCGCUAUAGACUGCGGGGCUAGAGGGUGGGAGAGGAAAGUGGAAUUCCUGGUGUAGCGGUGAAAUGCGUAGAUAUCAGGAGGAACACCGGUGGUGUAAACGGCUUUCUGGACCAUUUCUGACGCUGAGGCACGAAAGCGUGGGUAGCAAACAGGAUUAGAUACCCUGGUAGUCCACGCCCUAAACGAUGCAUAUUUGGUGUGGGCCAUUCAUUUGGUCUGUGCCGGAGCUAACGCGUUAAAUAUGCCGCCUGGGGAGUACAGUCGCAAGGCUGAA
Molecule: ribosomal RNA, 330 nt
Filed under: uncultured bacterium
Lineage: Bacteria
Description: bacterial SSU rRNA
Rfam family: Bacterial small subunit ribosomal RNA
Source: RNAcentral